RNAcentral lists this ribosomal RNA (157 nucleotides) under Emericellopsis fimetaria. Its description in RNAcentral is "Stilbella fimetaria 5.8S ribosomal RNA". The stretch from base 31 to 157 matches the Rfam family "5.8S ribosomal RNA", at positions 1 to 127 of the family's 154-position model. Rfam says of the family: 5.8S ribosomal RNA (5.8S rRNA) is a component of the large subunit of the eukaryotic ribosome. It is transcribed by RNA polymerase I as part of the 45S precursor that also contains 18S and 28S rRNA. Lineage: Eukaryota; Fungi; Ascomycota; Sordariomycetes; Hypocreales; Bionectriaceae. The record is from RNAcentral.
UUCUGAGUGGCAUAAGCAAAAAUAAAACAAAACUUUCAGCAACGGAUCUCUUGGUUCUGGCAUCGAUGAAGAACGCAGCGAAAUGCGAUAAGUAAUGUGAAUUGCAGAAUUCAGUGAAUCAUCGAAUCUUUGAACGCACAUUGCGCCCGCCAGUAUU